Molecule: ribosomal RNA, 497 nt
Filed under: uncultured bacterium
Lineage: Bacteria
Description: partial 16S ribosomal RNA
Rfam family: Bacterial small subunit ribosomal RNA
Source: RNAcentral
GACGAACGCUGGCGGCGUGCCUAAUACAUGCAAGUAGAACGCUGAAGAGAGGAGCUUGCUCUUCUUGGAUGAGUUGCGAACGGGUGAGUAACGCGUAGGUAACCUGCCUGGUAGCGGGGGAUAACUAUUGGAAACGAUAGCUAAUACCGCAUAAAAUGGAUUAUCGCAUGAUAAUCCAUUGAAAGGUGCAAAUGCAUCACUACCAGAUGGACCUGCGUUGUAUUAGCUAGUUGGUGGGGUAACGGCUCACCAAGGCGACGAUACAUAGCCGACCUGAGAGGGUGAUCGGCCACACUGGGACUGAGACACGGCCCAGACUCCUACGGGAGGCAGCAGUAGGGAAUCUUCGGCAAUGGACGGAAGUCUGACCGAGCAACGCCGCGUGAGUGAAGAAGGUUUUCGGAUCGUAAAGCUCUGUUGUAAGAGAAGAACGAGUGUGAGAGUGGAAAGUUCACACUGUGACGGUAACUUACCAGAAAGGGACGGCUAACUACGUG